Molecule: transfer RNA, 73 nt
Filed under: Dendronephthya gigantea
Lineage: Eukaryota; Metazoa; Cnidaria; Anthozoa; Malacalcyonacea; Nephtheidae
Description: tRNA-Arg
Rfam family: tRNA
About the family: Transfer RNA (tRNA) molecules are approximately 80 nucleotides in length. Their secondary structure includes four short double-helical elements and three loops (D, anti-codon, and T loops).
Source: RNAcentral
GCCUUCGUGGCCUAACGGAUAAGGCGUCGGCCUCCUAAGCCGAAGAUUGCGGGUUCGAAUCCCGUCGGAGGUU